GAACGAACGCUGGCGGUAUGCCUAACACAUGCAAGUCGAACGAGACCUUCGGGUCUAGUGGCGCACGGGUGCGUAACGCGUGGGAACCUGCCUUUAGGUUCGGAAUAACUCAGAGAAAUUUGAGCUAAUACCGGAUAAUGUCUUCGGACCAAGGAUUUAUCGCCUUUAGAUGGGCCCGCGUUGGAUUAGCUAGUUGGUGGGGUAAAGGCCUACCAAGGCGACGAUCCAUAGCUGGUCUGAGAGGAUGAUCAGCCACACUGGGACUGAGACACGGCCCAGACUCCUACGGGAGGCAGCAGUGGGAAUAUUGGACAAUGGGCGAAAGCCUGAUCCAGCAAUGCCGCGUGAGUGAUGAAGGCCUUAGGGUUGUAAAGCUCUUUACCCGGGAUGAUAAUGACAGUACCGGGAGAGUAAGCUCCGGCUAACUCCGUG
Molecule: ribosomal RNA, 432 nt
Filed under: uncultured bacterium
Lineage: Bacteria
Description: bacterial SSU rRNA
Rfam family: Bacterial small subunit ribosomal RNA
Source: RNAcentral